Molecule: transfer RNA, 73 nt
Filed under: Patescibacteria group bacterium
Lineage: Bacteria
Description: tRNA-Pro
Rfam family: tRNA
About the family: Transfer RNA (tRNA) molecules are approximately 80 nucleotides in length. Their secondary structure includes four short double-helical elements and three loops (D, anti-codon, and T loops).
Source: RNAcentral
CGGGCUGUGGCGCAGUUGGUAGCGCGCGCGCAUGGGGUGCGUGAGGUCGCUGGUUCAAGUCCAGUCAGCCCGA